This 494-nucleotide ribosomal RNA is filed under the name uncultured bacterium. RNAcentral describes it as "partial 16S ribosomal RNA". It matches the Rfam family "Bacterial small subunit ribosomal RNA", at positions 28 to 507 of the family's 1533-position model. The record is from RNAcentral.
GACGAACGCUGGCGGCGUGCUUAACACAUGCAAGUCGAACGGUGAAGCGCCUUCCUUUUUGGUGGGUGUGGAUGAGUGGCGAACGGGUGAGUAACACGUGAGUAACCUGCCCCCUUCUUCUGGAUAACCGCAUGAAAGUGUGGCUAAUACGGGAUAUUCUGGGUCUGUCGCAUGAUGGGUCUGGGAAAGAUAUUGUUUCGGUGGGGGAUGGGCUCGCGGCCUAUCAGCUUGUUGGUGGGGUGAUGGCCUACCAAGGCGGUGACGGGUAGCCGGCCUGAGAGGGUGGACGGUCACACUGGGACUGAGACACGGCCCAGACUCCUACGGGGGGCAGCAGUGGGGAAUAUUGCACAAUGGGCACAAGGCUGAUGCAGCGACGCCGCGUGAGGGAUGGAGGCCUUCGGGUUGUGAACCUCUUUCGCCAGUGAAGCAGGCCUGCCUCGUUUGUGGGUGGGUUGACGGUAGCUGGAUAAGAAGCGCCGGCUAACUACGUG